RNAcentral lists this ribosomal RNA (1638 nucleotides) under Triticum aestivum (bread wheat). RNAcentral's name for it is "partial small subunit ribosomal RNA". The record is from RNAcentral. Lineage: Eukaryota; Viridiplantae; Streptophyta; Magnoliopsida; Poales; Poaceae.
AUGCACAAAAUGAGCCGUCAUCCUCCAAGGGAUCGUCAUCCUCCAAAGGAUCGUCAUCAUCUGGUGAACAAAAUAGAUUUUCAUCAUCGGGUGGACAAAAUGGAUCUUCAUCCUCCAAUAAAGAAAUACAUGGGUUGGCUGAGCAAAGUUGUUAAAAGUUCGGUAAAUAAAGUUAUAAGAGGACAAUACGACGGGAACUUUAGUGAAGGCUAUUCAACCCAGCACGCUACGUCACAUGGUACACAUGCCAGUGACAAUGAAGACAUAGAUCGUGCUAUUGCAUUAUCCUUAUCAGAGGAAGGUCAAAGGAAGGGAAAGGCCAUUGAUACUGAUGAUCAUUUAGAAGAAGAUGAAGAGCUUGCACGGGCUCUGCAAGAAAGUUUGAAAGAUAAGCAUCCUCUUCGUCAGAAAAUUCCGGUGGGGGGAGUUCACUCAGAUAGUACUCCAGCAACUAGCCUACUGCCAGAUAUCUUGCCAUCAAGUAGAUCGAGGGUUUGUGCUGGAUGUAAAACUCCACUUGGACAUGGACAGUUUCUCAGUUGUAUGGAUUCUGUUUGGCACCCUCGGUGCUUCAGGUGCUCAGCUUGCAGUGAGCCAAUAUCAGACUCUGAGUUUGCAGUACAUGAAGAUCAUCCAUACCACAGUACCUGCUACAAGGAGAAUUUUCAUCCAAAAUGUGAUGUUUGCAAGAACUUUAUUCGAACAAAUAAAAAUGGUUUAAUUGAAUACCGGGCCCAUCCUUUCUGGAUGCAGAAGUAUUGUCCUUCGCAUGACAAUGACGGUACUCCUAGGUGUUGCAGUUGUGAACGAAUGGAGCCAAAGGAUAUCAAGUACAUAACAUUAGAUGAUGGCCGGAAGCUCUGCUUGGAGUGUCUAUAUACUUCAAUAAUGGACACAGACGAGUGCCAACCAGUAUACAUUGAUAUCCAGGAAUUCUAUGAGGGUUUGAACAUGAAAGUAGAGCAACAGAUCCCCUUGCUUUUGGUUGAACGUCAAGGUUUAAAUGAAGCCAGGGAAGUAGAGAAAAUGGGGCAUCACCUUCCUGAAACCAGGGGUCUCUGCCUAUCGGAAGAGCAAAUUGUCAGAAUGAUAUCGAGACGACCAAUAAUUGGACCAGGAAGCAAAAUGAUAGACAUUUCUACAGCACCAUACAAACUAGUUCGGCGGUGUGAAGUGACUGCAAUUCUUGUACUAUAUGCUUUGCCAAGACUGCUCACAGGCUAUAUUCUAGCUCAUGAGAUGAUGCAUGCAUACCUUCGACUUAAAGGAUACCGAAUCCGUAAUCCAGAGGUUGAAGAAGGCAUCUGUCAGGUCCUAGCUCAUCUCUGGCUUGAGUCUGAAAUCGUGUCAGGUUCAAGCAGUAGCAUUGCAACCACAUCUGAAGCAGCAGCUGUAGCAGCAGAAGCAGCAGUAGCAGCAGAAGCAACAGCGACACCUUCUUCAACAUCUUCCUCGGCGAAAAAGGGUGAAAAGACUGACUUUGAGAAAAAACUUGGAGAAUUCUUCAAGCACCAGAUCGAAACAGAUCCCUCUGCAAUAUAUGGAGAUGGGUUUCGAGCUGGCAUUCGAGCAGUUGAACGAUAUGGCUUGAGAGGUACCCUUGAUCAUAUCAAGCGGUCAGGUUCUUUUCCAAGUUGA